CUGCGGAGGAUAUUACAGAAAGUAAACGCGGGUCAAACCGCGAACUUCUAAACCUUUGACGAUUGACUCAUGUUGCCUCGGCGGGUUCGCCCGCCGGAGGAUACAUCAAAACUCCCGUUUUAACGGUGUUGUCUGAGCUACAAGCAACGAAUCAAAACUUUCAACAACGGAUCUCUUGGUUCUGGCAUCGAUGAAGAACGCAGCGAAAUGCGAUAAGUAGUGUGAAUUGCAAAAUUCAGUGAAUCAUCGAAUCUUUGAACGCACAUUGCGCCCCUUGGUAUCCCGAGGGGCAUGCCUGUUCGAGCGUCAUUUCACCACUCAAGCCUGGCUUGGUGUUGGGCGACGUCCCUUUGGGACGCGCCUCGAAACGCUCGGCGGCGUGGCACCGGCUUUAAGCGUAGCAGAAUCUUUCGCUUUGAAAGUCGGGGCCCCGUCUGCCGGAAGACCUACUCGCAAGGUUGACCUCGGAUCAGGUAGGGAUACCCGCUGAACUUAAGCAUAUCAAUAAGCGGAGGA
Molecule: ribosomal RNA, 516 nt
Filed under: uncultured Cenococcum
Lineage: Eukaryota; Fungi; Ascomycota; Dothideomycetes; Gloniales; Gloniaceae
Description: eukaryotic LSU rRNA
Rfam family: 5.8S ribosomal RNA (bases 156-309)
Source: RNAcentral